This 276-nucleotide ribosomal RNA is filed under the name Dacryonaema macnabbii. RNAcentral's name for it is "Dacrymyces macnabbii partial large subunit ribosomal RNA". It matches the Rfam family "Eukaryotic large subunit ribosomal RNA", at positions 663 to 943 of the family's 3401-position model. Lineage: Eukaryota; Fungi; Basidiomycota; Dacrymycetes; Dacryonaemataceae. The record is from RNAcentral.
GGACCAAGGAGUCUAACAUGUCUGCGAGUGUUUGGGUGGCAAACCCGAGCGCGCAAUGAAAGUGAAUGCAGGUGGGAGGCGCGAGCCGCACCAUCGACCGAUCUGGAUCUUUAGUGAUGGAUUUGAGUAAGAGCAUAUAUGUUGGGACCCGAAAGAUGGUGAACUAUGCCUGAAUAGGGCGAAGCCAGAGGAAACUCUGGUGGAGGCUCGUAGCGAUUCUGACGUGCAAAUCGAUCGUCAAAUUUGGGUAUAGGGGCGAAAGACUAAUCGAACCAU